Molecule: long non-coding RNA, 4261 nt
Organism: Homo sapiens (human)
Lineage: Eukaryota; Metazoa; Chordata; Mammalia; Primates; Hominidae
Gene: SCUBE3-AS1
Product: SCUBE3 antisense RNA 1
Source: Ensembl
GAGAUGAAGUCUCGGUCUGUCACCCAGGCUGGAGUACAGUAGUGGUGUGAUCUCGGCUCACUGCAACCUCUGCCUCCCAGGUUCAAGCUAUUCUUCUGCCUCAGCCUCCUGAGUAUCUGGGAUUACAGGCAUGUGCCACCACACUUGGCUAAUUUUUGUAUUAUUAAUAGAGACAUGGUUUUGCCACAUUGGCCAGGCUGGUCUCGAACUCCUGACCUCAAGUGAUCUGCCCGCCUUAGCCUCCCAAAGUGCUGGGAUUACAGGCGCGAGCCACUACACCUGGCCACAGAUUUUUUAGACCCCUCCUACAGCCAGACUUCUCCCACCAUCUAACUAACCCCUCUCCCUUACCUCCCUGCUCACAAUGCUUAUCCCUCUCCAGCAAAGAGUCUCUGCUCUGGAAGACAUUAUCUCUUCCUGUUCCCUCUACAAUACCUAACCAUCCUAUUCCUUUCUAUGCAUUUGCGUAUUUUCGUUAUUCACAUUGCAGAUGCAUUCCUCAUUUUUCUCUUCCAGCCACACUAUGCUCAGCUUUCCAUUCCAGCUCAAAUUUUUCUUCCCAAAAGCUCUUCCUUGUAAGCCCCGUUCCUGGUGAGUUCCUGGUCCAAGGGGACUGUUCUCCUCAGUUCAUUUACAGCCGUCACUGAAUUGCUCUGCUAAUACUUUAAAGCGUGUUCAGCUUUCCUCACCUGGCUGGGUACCUGCUGAGGAAGAUGUCCCUUCAAUGUUUGGUUGGAGUCUUUUGAAGCAGAACAGACCUAAGACAAAGCUGUGAAAGAGGGCCCCAAAUUAUACCCAGUAUCUCCUCCUUUUACCACUCAUUCUUCCAGAGUUCUCUCCUACCAUAUGUGCCCACCCAGAAUUUGUCCUUGCAAGGACCCUUCAACGCUCACAGCACAGUCUCAUCUUAGCCUGUUCUCUCAGGAUGCAGGUGCUUACUAGCUGGAAAACCAGUUGAUGCUACUGGGUGUGGACUGGUUUAAACCAGCGGUUCUCAACCCUGGGGCUACACACUGGAAUUCCCUGGGGGUUUUGAAAAAAAUGUGAAUGUACAGAUGUCCCCUAGACCAGCUGAAUCAGGAUCUCCAGGGUGAGGCUGUGGCUACUAUCUGUCUUCCUUUCCCAAGGUAAUGCCAAUAAACUAUUUGCCCAAGCUGGGAAGAGACCAGGGCAGCCACAUGACAGAGUAGUUAAGAGAGAGGUUCUGGAGCAACAUUGUCAGUUCAAUUGCUAGCUCUACCUGUGUCUGUGUGGUCCUGGGCCAGCCUCUGAACUUACCUGUUCCCUCCUCUGUAUGUGGGAAUAAUAUUCAUCAUAGUACCUCCCCAUGGGGCUUCCAGGAACAUCAGUUGAAUUAAUACCCAUCAAGUACUUAACACCACAGUGUGGGCAUAUAGAAAGUGCUCAACAAAGGUUUGCUAUUUUUUUCUUUCUUUUUGAAACAGAGACAGGGUCUUGCUCUGCUUAUCCAGGCAGGAAUGCAAUGGCAUGAACAUAGCUCACUGCAACCUCGAAAUCCUGGGCUCAAGUGAUCCUCCCACCUCAGCCUACUGAGUAACUGGGACUAUAUGCGCGUGGCAUCAUGCUCAGCCAAUUUUUUAAAAUUUUUAGAGGCAGGGUCUUGCUAUGUUGCCCAAGCUGGUCUCGAACUCCUGGAUUUGAACGACCCUCUCAUGUCAGCCUCCCAAAGUGCUGGUAUUACAGGUGUGAGUCGCCAUGCCUAGCCAAGGUUUGCUACUAUUAUUCCUUCUCUCCAACCUUCUCCCUGUAUUCUUUCUGAACUCCCUUUCCCUAUCAAAGCCCCAUUUCAGGCCUGGUGUGGGGAAAUGCAGCACCAGGUGAGCAUGUGUUGGUGGGGAGGAUUUGGGGAGACACAUCCCCACUGCUUACUCUACCUGUGCUGGGAACUGCACAAAGAAUGGGGGUGAAGUGGGUGAGAGGCCAGUUGGGAACCCAAAAGCUGUCCUCUACAAUUCUUUUUGAAGGCUAGGGAGAUCCCACUCCUACUUCAGGCCAUGCAUUGGAACCAAAGUUGAGGUGGGGGAGAGUGGUGGCUGCACAGAUACCAUAGACAAGCCAAGACCUCCCUGCCUCGCCCUGUCCUGGCAUGAAGGCACAGGUCUGUAACUACAGCAGCUUUUCCCAGUACCAUCUGACAUUUCUUCUGAAUUUGCUUUAGCGCCUAGCAGAGCACUCCAUAAACUCUCCUAAAGUAGGUAGGAAGGGUAGGAUGGGGUAUGGGAUAUGAGGGUCAGAGGGUCAGACCAGAAAGGGUGGAUUAUUAUAAAACAAGUAGUCCUAAGAUUCUGAGGAUGGGCAGGUGUACCCUAAAAGGGAAGCAGUGGGAUUCCCAAGUAAAUACUUCAUCUACUUCACAAGUUUGCCCAAGCCCAGCUCAGGAACAGUAACAAAUGGAAAUGAGCAGGGAUGCCGGCUGUGGACAAGCAGACCCCCUAGGUAGAGUCCACCCCACCUUCCCAUUACCACAGGAAUUAUUACCUUACCACCCAUAGGGGAGGGGGUAAUUGUGGGCAAAUUUGAUGGGCCCAGUGGGACAGUCAGAAACAGCCUGCCUAGAGCCCUAAUGUACCCACCCACAUAGCUGUGACAUCCUCAGCCCAGCCAGGCUAGCCCAGGAUAUAUGGUGUGUGUAGCGCACUCUGCUAUUUUCCUCUCCUUGAAUGUCCUUGAGGACCCAGUUCAGGUGCCUCUGCUGGGACACUCCCUGUGACACUACCAGCCUUCUCUGAUCUACUCUUUCUCUUGACUCCUAAGACUUACUGUCAGGCUCUCUGGUCACCUGAUCAAUCCCAGGCUUGUGAUACCUCAUAUGCUACCUUGUACCAUUAUUUAACUUUUAGUUCAUGUGUAUAAUUUUCCUACUGAAGCAGUAGGAGCUUGAGGCCAUGGCUCCUAAAGCUUUGAAACCCAUGCAGCAACUGAAAUAGAGCUCAGCAUUCAUUCAUUCACUCACUCACUCAAUAGUUAUUGAGCACCUCCAACAUGCGAAGCACCGUGCUAGGUGCUGGGGAUUUGGCAGUGAACCAGAGAUGAAUUCUACAUUGAAGCCACUUAGUAAAUAUUUGUUAAACAGAUAGACGAGUGGAUGGAGACAUGGAUGCAUUAGUAGUGAGUGGAUAAUGUCUCUAUCUGUGGCAUCCCUUCUGCUCUAUGUUACCUCAGAGAAAAAUCUCACUUCUUUACUCUCCGUGAUCCCACAACUGUUCUGGAUGGGGGAAGUCCCAGGAAGUUUAGUCUCAAGUGGAGAGUAGGGAGAGAGGAAACUAAAUUCAGAGGGGUAGUACCCACUUAAAGGCAUCCAUAUGAUGAGUGCUGGGGCCAGAAGAGACUGGAACCAAUGAGUCAUAGGGUCUCAGGGUCUUCAGACAUCAUAUGGGGCUGCUACAGGGAUCUUUUCAGAGCAUCCCCUUCAACAGAUGUUCCUCAGCCUCCAUGCUAACUCUCAAUGAUGGGGCACCUGACACAGGCAUUCCACUGCUUGCCCCUGGUGAUUUCCCUCAUUCUCACCUCUAAGUAACAUCCAAAAUAAAACCAGCCCAGCCUUGGGCCAUGAUAUCCUAACCCACAGCAUGUGCACAUGUACCCACAUCUGCAUAUCUGCUCUACCUCCAGAUCAAAAUAGCAACCAGGGAGAUUGGCAGAGCCUGGAGUACCAGGCUGUCUUCCCAGUUUGGGACUGGCUGAGGCACUGUGACUUCAGUGAGAGUCUGGGCCCAUCCUCAGUCUAGAAAAAGCUUAUGCAAGGAUGAGGGUAGCCUAGAGAAAGUCCAGAAAACCACACAAAUGACCACCUGUUGAUUCCAAGGCGGAGACAGAGCACUUUCUCCUUUUAAAAACAGUAUCCUCUCCUCUCACUCAAGCUUAGCCUGCUCAACUGAACAGCCAGGAAAAGCUGCUGGUGUUUGGUGAUUUGAAGGGAAGGGGGUCUGAACCUCAGAAGCUUGUCACUUACUGGGGACCCUGAUGAGUUUCUCUCUGUUGUCCUGCCUUAUCCCUAAUCUAGCUCCCUGAUCAUUUGAAUGUAACCCUAAUUGGACAAGAAUUUUCUCCCUUUCAGUAUGGACAAAAUCAACAACCAUGAAUCAGAGACUUUUAGAGGAUGGGUAGUGAAGUGGGGGAAGAACAGAACAUUGUAGAGUGAGGGGCAGAGAGGCAGGCAGUGGGCAUGGGUAGGUUCUGGUUUUGUGAUUAGUAAUAUUAUCUCUUUAAUUGAAAAAAAUAAACUCAUUUCAGAUUCGUA